RNAcentral lists this transfer RNA (34 nucleotides) under Myrcia amazonica. RNAcentral describes it as "partial tRNA-His". Lineage: Eukaryota; Viridiplantae; Streptophyta; Magnoliopsida; Myrtales; Myrtaceae. The record is from RNAcentral.
UAGAAAUACUAGUAAUAGUAGGGGCGGAUGUAGC